This 471-nucleotide ribosomal RNA is filed under the name Serratia marcescens. RNAcentral describes it as "bacterial SSU rRNA". It matches the Rfam family "Bacterial small subunit ribosomal RNA", at positions 1 to 467 of the family's 1533-position model. The record is from RNAcentral. Lineage: Bacteria; Pseudomonadati; Pseudomonadota; Gammaproteobacteria; Enterobacterales; Yersiniaceae.
UUAAUUGAAGAGUUUGAUCAUGGCUCAGAUUGAACGCUGGCGGCAGGCUUAACACAUGCAAGUCGAGCGGUAGCACAAGAGAGCUUGCUCUCUGGGUGACGAGCGGCGGACGGGUGAGUAAUGUCUGGGAAACUGCCUGAUGGAGGGGGAUAACUACUGGAAACGGUAGCUAAUACCGCAUAACGUCGCAAGACCAAAGAGGGGGACCUUCGGGCCUCUUGCCAUCAGAUGUGCCCAGAUGGGAUUAGCUAGUAGGUGGGGUAAUGGCUCACCUAGGCGACGAUCCCUAGCUGGUCUGAGAGGAUGACCAGCCACACUGGAACUGAGACACGGUCCAGACUCCUACGGGAGGCAGCAGUGGGGAAUAUUGCACAAUGGGCGCAAGCCUGAUGCAGCCAUGCCGCGUGUGUGAAGAAGGCCUUCGGGUUGUAAAGCACUUUCAGCGAGGAGGAAGGUGGUGAGCUUAAUACG